CUCAACAGCUGAUUUUGAAAAGUUACAAAAAAGGAAAUUAUUAAAUUGCUGUCAAAAAAUAUUUAAAAUAAUUAAGAAAGCUUUAUUUAGACUUUACAAGUACGCCACACACUAAAGUAUAUGCUUAAAUUGUAAGUAAGGACAAGCUAUCUCCUACUUGCAUAUUCAUGCCUUUCCUUGGUCCAAUGGAAGCAAGCAAUUUAAUGAUACCCGAAGACACUUUCCUGCAAAUUUAGUGAUAGAUAUAGUGGAGCAGCUGCUGUAACAUAAUUGUAGAAGGAAUCAUUAUGGAGAUCCUAACCUAAUUUGCUGUGCAAUAUGAAAUGCAAAUGAAUAUGUUACAGGAUCAAUGCUUAUUGUUACUUAGCCUAGAAUCAAUUAAUAUUAGCACCAUAUCUUGGAUGAAUUCUUAAUUGUAAAUUUCAUAGUAUUUUAUAAGCUUCAAAAUGUUAAAGGGAAUAUUAAUUCAGCUUACCAAAUCAUAUAGUUAAAUUUUUAAAAGUAAAUAUAAAUUGGAAAAAUGCAGUAAA
Molecule: long non-coding RNA, 530 nt
Organism: Zeugodacus cucurbitae (melon fly)
Lineage: Eukaryota; Metazoa; Arthropoda; Insecta; Diptera; Tephritidae
Exons: 2
Source: RefSeq, a predicted model, not a curated record